AAAUAGAGGUCAACUGCCCAGUGACUAUAGGUUCACGGCGCGGUAUUUUAACCGUGCUAAGGUAGCGUAAUCACUUGUCUCUUAAUGGAGACCUGUAUGAAUGGCAUCACGAGGGCUUAACUGUCUCCUCCUUCAGGUCAGUGAAAUUGAUCUCCCCGUGCAGAAGCGGGGAUGAAAACAUAAGACGAGAAGACCCCGUGGAGCUUUAGAUGCAAGAGCAGCGCAUGUAAUACACCCCUAAGCAAGGGUUAAAACUGAUGCACCCUGCCCUAAUGUCUUUGGUUGGGGCGACCGCGGAUCCAUUUAACCUCCGCGUGGAAUGGGAGCAUAUAUUAACGACACCUACUCCUAAAACUAAGAGCUACAGCUCUAAGCAACAAACUUUUGACCUAAGAAGAUCCGGCAACGCCGAUCAACGAACCGAGUUACCCCGGGGAUAACAGCGCAAUCCUCUUCUAGAGCCCUUAUCAACAGAGGUUUACGACCUCGAUGUUGGAUCAGACAUCCUAAUGUGCAACCGCUAUAAGGUU
RNAcentral lists this ribosomal RNA (530 nucleotides) under Hemanthias peruanus (splittail bass). Its description in RNAcentral is "partial 16S ribosomal RNA". It matches the Rfam family "Bacterial large subunit ribosomal RNA", at positions 1891 to 2573 of the family's 2925-position model. The record is from RNAcentral. Lineage: Eukaryota; Metazoa; Chordata; Actinopteri; Perciformes; Anthiadidae.